RNAcentral lists this ribosomal RNA (255 nucleotides) under uncultured bacterium. RNAcentral's name for it is "partial 16S ribosomal RNA". It matches the Rfam family "Bacterial small subunit ribosomal RNA", at positions 524 to 777 of the family's 1533-position model. The record is from RNAcentral.
UACGAAGGGGGCUAGCGUUGCUCGGAAUCACUGGGCGUAAAGGGUGCGUAGGCGGGUCUUUUAAGUCAGGGGUGAAAUCCUGGAGCUCAACUCCAGAACUGCCUUUGAUACUGAAGAUCUUGAGUUCGGGAGAGGUGAGUGGAACUGCGAGUGUAGAGGUGAAAUUCGUAGAUAUUCGCAAGAACACCAGUGGCGAAGGCGGCUCACUGGCCCGAUACUGACGCUGAGGCACGAAAGCGUGGGGAGCAAACAGGA